Molecule: long non-coding RNA, 1408 nt
Filed under: Equus caballus (horse)
Lineage: Eukaryota; Metazoa; Chordata; Mammalia; Perissodactyla; Equidae
Description: lncRNA (ENSECAG00000045998.1)
Source: RNAcentral
GUUAUUUCUAAGGGGAUUCAAGGUAGAAGUGGUGUAUGGUAAAAUUAUCAUAGCCAUUAUUAUCUGAAGGUCAUAAUGUAAAUAUUUUUAAACGAACUAAUGAGCUGGAAAUUCCAAAAUUUUCCAAGUGGGUCAGCCUUGAAGAAAGAAAAGCAGCGAGAGAGUGAUGGAAAGAACACCUUGAAGAGUUUCACUCUCGGUACAUCUCAGAUAUCACCUCUGUCAUUUUGGCGAGCCAUCUUAUGCAGUCCACUUUUAGCUCAAUUUUCACGUGAGUCACCUCAAAACUUCAAGCUGCAAAAUGGCCCAGUUGCAGCAGGGAGCAAUGAAGCUUUCCAGAAUCUUGUGAAAUAAGACGAUUUGUGAGCAGAAUCACCCAAACAAUACUUCUCAGGGUUAUUUUAAGCUUUUACUUUUGCCGUCUCCCUGACAACUUUAGCUCAGUGAGGACAGAUCUGGCCAGUUAAUGAAGAAUAGAGGAUAUGAAACACAAGGAAGAACAAACACUUUCCAGCCCCUGGGCUGAUGAGGAAGUCCACAGCAGAACCAAGGGAGUGGCUGCCGCCAAGCUACAGCUUUGGUGAGGAGUCUCCCCAUCAACUCUACACCCACGGUCCCCCAAACCCAGGACUCAGCUGCAGUUGAGAAGGGGCACCACGAAUUCCUCUGCCUUAUAUUUCUGUACUUCCAAGUGAUUAAGUUUCAAAUGUGUUGAAGGUCCCUACUCAGCAGCUCUGACCAUCAAAUAAACAAAAUGAAUGAGUUUUGCUCAUCAUCAAUUUAACCAAAAAACUAGAUGUUGACAAUAUCACCUUCUAUCCUUUAUCUACAAUGAUGAUAUGUAAUGAACCACCCAAACCCAGUGGCUUAAAGCAAUAAGGAUUUAUUUUGCUUAGGAGUCUGUGUGUUGCUGAAGGCUGGGUUCAGCUGUGCAGUUUGGGCCUCAGCUGGGCUUGCUCUCAAGUCUGGGAGUAGCUGGCUGUUGGCUGAUCUAGGGUGGCCCCAGUUGGGAUGUCCGGAACAACUAGGCUCUGCUCCAUAUGUCUCAUCUUACAGUAGGCCAACCAGGCAUCUUCUCAUAGCAAUCACAGAGGAGCAAGAGAAUGAGCAAAAACAUGCAAGCACUUAUUCACACCUCUGCUUGAGGGUCACAUUUGCUAACAAGCCAUUCUCUAAGGCAAGUCACAGGCUGAUCCCAGAGUCAAGGGGUGGGAUAGAAUCCUCAACCCACAGGGCACUGCAGAGUUACAAGGCAAAGGGAAUGGGUACAGCGAGGGAUGUAGAAUGGGAGCCAUUAAUACAAUCGAUCUCCUGUACACGUUUAAUGACAGUUUGUCUACAGUUGGAGACAAGGCAAUCCUGACUAGGCUGGUCACUUUACAACAUGCCUAAUCUCUGGUUUAGGGCC